RNAcentral lists this small RNA (1287 nucleotides) under Mytilus galloprovincialis (Mediterranean mussel). Lineage: Eukaryota; Metazoa; Mollusca; Bivalvia; Mytilida; Mytilidae. The record is from RNAcentral.
AUGAAUAGAGACAAUUCUUUACAUGCACCCAGAGAUACCAAACAAAUUAGAAAUGCCAAGUACCGUAAUAAACUGAAAACACAGCCUGCUUAUGCCAAUGUUGCUGAUGAAAUUCUUGCCGUUGUCGGGAUGCUCGAUACACAUCCGUUCGUACAACAAAUAAUUCACAACAAGAAUCAAGUACCAGCAAUAGUGUGUUACACGGACAACCAAAUAACAGAUUUGAGACAUUUUCUUGCACAAAAGUCCGAGCAUCCUCUUGGUGUUGAUAGAACAUUUAAUCUGGGAAGUUUUUAUGUCACAUCCAUUGUUUACAAGAACCUGCGGGUAAACAGAAAAGAAACAAAAGACCAUCCAAUCUUUGCAGGACCAAUGCUUCUACACAAGGAUGCGUCAUACAAAACAUACAGAGCCUUCUUUUCAAACAUUUCUGCCACACUUGAACUACCCAUUAAUGAUGUUGAACUUCGUCUCCACGAAAAUAUAGAGUUUGGCAGUGAUGACGAAAAAGCUAUGACCAAGGCGAUAGAAAAUGCAUUUCCAACUGCCAAACGAAGAUUGUGCACAAAACAUUUAAAGGACAAUGUACAACAUUACCUUCAAGAUCGUGUUGGUGUUAGCACCCAAGAAAGAAAAACCAUCAUCAACACAAUUUUUGGAGAUCAAGGAAUUGCAAGCGCAGACGACACAUUGCAAUUUGCAAGGGCAGAUUCGGAGCUCAAGGACUUGUGUGCAAAUCAUCCUCAGUUCCUGAAAUAUUACGAACAAAGUUUUAAGCCACGAGUUGAAGAAUUCGUUAAUGCACCCAAUAGACGUUUAGGCACUAAGCAAAUGUGGACGAACAACAAUGCAGAAUCCAUGAACCGGGUGAUGAAAGUGGCAGUCAACUGGAAGCCCCAACAUGCACCAGAUUUGGUUGAUAAACUAUUUGACAUGGUGGACUUCCAGUUCAUUAAUCUACGGUCAGCCCUUCAUCAUUCUGGGGACUACAUGCUGGUCAACUCAUACAAACAGUACACUAUAGCAGAUGCCAUCUGGAAAACAAAAUCAGACGAGGAAAAACGAAAGCUCUUUAAUAAUUUCCUGCAGGACAGUAAAAAAAGAAAACACGAAAAUAUCAUAACUUCAUCCGAUGGACUAUACUCUGUUGUGAACAAGGCUAAGUCAAUAGCCAAGAAACCUAUGCAGAGAAAAGAGACCAAGAACAGAAAGAGCCGAAAAAAGACAUUAAUGUAUUUAUUGAAUUGUUUUGUUAUUGAUGUUAUCAAAUUAAAAUUUUCAACUUAA